GAUUGAAGGCCCUCCGGAGCCGCCCUUCGGGGGAGGCUUCAAACUGCCCUCUGCCGCGUUGACUGAAGACCGUCGUGGUGAGCGACGAGGGAAAAGGCGCACGUGAUGCGUCAGGU
Molecule: non-coding RNA, 116 nt
Organism: Frankia sp.
Lineage: Bacteria; Bacillati; Actinomycetota; Actinomycetes; Frankiales; Frankiaceae
Source: Rfam